Micropterus salmoides (largemouth bass) is the source of this 348-nucleotide non-coding RNA. The record is from the annotation of a RefSeq genome assembly. NCBI's taxonomy places the organism in Eukaryota, Metazoa, Chordata, Actinopteri, Centrarchiformes, Centrarchidae.
GCAGACAUGAACCACUGGCUGAGAAACAUCCUGAUUCUGACUCUCUGGCUAGAGUGUAAAGGAGAAGACAGAGUGACCCAGCCAGCAGGAGAUGUCAUUGCUGCUGAAGGAGACACAGUUACACUUGACUGUACUUUUGAGACCAGUGACCCAGUUCCAUAUCUCUUCUGGUACCAACAAAAAGUAAAUGAGUCACCAAAGUAUAUGCUGAGAUGUUACUCAAAAACAGUCGAUUUUGCUGAAGAACUCAUGAAAGAAAGAUUUAAUGCUACAAUCAAGAAUAAGUCAGUUCCUCUGAAGAUCCAGAAGCUUCAGCUGUCUGACUCUGCUGUGUACUACUGUGCUCUG